UUCACAGGUUUGCAGAAAUUUUACGGGUUUGGAACCCCUUUCACUCAAAAUUCCCCAAUUUGAUUCCCAAAUCUCAAAAUAUGUUUCCAGAACAUGUUUACAGGUCACUAUGAUUAAAAAGACUCAUAAAGGCACAAUCAACCUUUAAAACACUUGACAUUUGAGCUAACUCUUCAUUUUCACCAAAACACCAACACAACUCAAAUUCUCAUCAUCAAUCCAUGAAUAUGCAAACCCAAGCAAUUAUUCAUUAAUCAUAUUAUCAAAUAACAUUCAUAACAUCAUUUGAACAAGCAUCACAUCUCAACUUAACAACAACUUAGGAGAAAUUCACCAAUUGAGCACAAUAUUCAUAACUUAUCAUUUUUGCAUAUAUGAACAUGUAAUUCCACCAACAAUCAUACAACUAACAUCAAUUCAUGCAUACAAACAUAACAUCACAGCAAGAGCACGAAUUUAGCAUGAAUUGUUCAUCAACCCAUUUUCAUACAACAUGAGUAGAUGCAAAAAUUACAUGAUUGUGAUAAUAACUAACCCCCUUACCUUUGAAGAAGAUUAACCCUAAUCCUUGCUUCAAUUCAGCUCCUAAGUCACCCACUUGAUUCCUAAAGCUCUUCUCU
Molecule: long non-coding RNA, 620 nt
Filed under: Medicago truncatula (barrel medic)
Lineage: Eukaryota; Viridiplantae; Streptophyta; Magnoliopsida; Fabales; Fabaceae
Description: long non-coding RNA (MTRU_LNC001046)
Source: RNAcentral